GUGGAUGUAGCCAAGUGGUACGGCACUUCCUUGCCAUGGAAGACUUCGUGGGUUCGAUUCCCAUCAUCCACUCCG
RNAcentral lists this transfer RNA (75 nucleotides) under Syntrophobacteraceae bacterium. RNAcentral describes it as "tRNA-Gly". It matches the Rfam family "tRNA". From Rfam's summary of the family: Transfer RNA (tRNA) molecules are approximately 80 nucleotides in length. Their secondary structure includes four short double-helical elements and three loops (D, anti-codon, and T loops). Further hydrogen bonds mediate the characteristic L-shaped molecular structure. tRNAs have two regions of fundamental functional importance: the anti-codon, which is responsible for specific mRNA codon recognition, and the 3' end, to which the tRNAs corresponding amino acid is attached (by aminoacyl-tRNA synthetases). tRNAs cope with the degeneracy of the genetic code in two manners: having more than one tRNA (with a specific anti-codon) for a particular amino acid; and 'wobble' base-pairing, i.e. permitting non-standard base-pairing at the 3rd anti-codon position. The record is from RNAcentral. Lineage: Bacteria; Pseudomonadati; Thermodesulfobacteriota; Syntrophobacteria; Syntrophobacterales; Syntrophobacteraceae.